UAAUCUUUAAAUUAUAGGGAAACGCUAGAAGGGAGUUCUGUAAGUCACUGGCUGAAGUUGUACGAGAGAUUUAUGGCUCUCUCAGGUCGACAUCUGUGACUGACCUACAGCCCGCCAGUGCUAUUACUUCCCUUUUCCGGUUCAUGAACAGAAUGGAGGAAUUGCUGUUGGCAUGUCAUGUUGGGAGACUGGGUAUUGUGUGGUUCACCACAAAAGGCACAAAUACAAUGGACUUUGAAAUACAAGCUUCAUAC
Long non-coding RNA from Artibeus jamaicensis (Jamaican fruit-eating bat), 254 nucleotides. RefSeq lists it as uncharacterized. The record is from RefSeq and is a predicted model, not a curated record. NCBI's taxonomy places the organism in Eukaryota, Metazoa, Chordata, Mammalia, Chiroptera, Phyllostomidae. The transcript has 3 exons.